RNAcentral lists this ribosomal RNA (440 nucleotides) under uncultured bacterium. RNAcentral's name for it is "partial 16S ribosomal RNA". It matches the Rfam family "Bacterial small subunit ribosomal RNA", at positions 338 to 795 of the family's 1533-position model. The record is from RNAcentral.
CCUACGGGAGGCAGCAGUAGGGAAUAUUGCUCAAUGGGGGAAACCCUGAAGCAGCAACGCCGCGUGGAGGAUAAAGGUUUUAGGAUUGUAAACCUCUUUUGUUAGAGAAGAUUAUGACGGCAUCUAACGAUUAAGCACCGUCUAACUCCGUGCCAGCAGCCGCGGUAAUACGGAGGGUGCAAGCGUUACCCGGAAUCACUGGGCGUAAAGGGUGCGUAGGGGGGGUAAUAAGUCAGAUGUGAAAUCCUGUAGCUUAACUACAGAACUGCAUUUGAAACUGUUACUCUGGAGUGUGGGAGAGGUAGGUGGAAUUCGUGGUGUAGGGGUAAAAUGCGUAGAGAUCAAGAAGAAUACUCAUUGCGAAGGCGACCUGCUGGAACAUUACUGACGCUGAUGCACGAAAGCGUGGGGAGCAAACAGGAUUAGAUACCCCUGUAGUC